UGGUCAUUUCAUUAAGGUUAAAUUUAAAUUUCUGUGAUCAGGUCCAUUUCUCAGAUACUAUAAGCAUGAUAAGCAGUAGGUCAACUAUAUGUUGUGUAUGGAAGGAUUGUAAGGAGUAUAUGUCAGUAUGACUGGUUUCAUCUGAACUUGACCUCAUUUUCAUUGUUUAUUUGUCAAUGUUUAGUUUUUGUUUUUUGGUCUGUUUUUCAAAUACUGCAUGAUAGUAAUAGGUUAGCUGAUUUGGUUUAUAGGAUAAUUGUCAGGUGUAAAUGUCUG
This 276-nucleotide long non-coding RNA is filed under the name Mytilus galloprovincialis (Mediterranean mussel). The record is from RNAcentral. Lineage: Eukaryota; Metazoa; Mollusca; Bivalvia; Mytilida; Mytilidae.